UUCGUUGAUGCAAACCAUAAAAUCUAGUCACCCGCAACUCUUCCACCUCAUGUUUGUUGUGCCUCUGACUUUUCUUUAACACUUCUCACUAUUAAUAGGUGUUUUUUUCAUGAUUCUCCAACACUGCUUCUUUCUUAUUUCCUGUUUUCCUCCUGUGUCUUCUUUUCCACGCCUCAAUUGGUGUGUUUAUGACAACUCAGAGAUAAGUUUGUUGAAAUUGACUUGAAACCAGUGUGUAAGCAUUGCUUUGAGCACUUGCCUGAAGAGCUGAAACGCAGACUUGCUCGGCGUGAACGUGAUGCUAAAGACCGCAGGAAAAAGCCGGCAGUGUGCCUGUAGCUUCACCACUCCAUCCAUGGGAACAAGUUUGUAGAGUUUGACAUGAAGCCUGUUUGUAAAAAGUGUUAUGAGAAGUUUCCGCUUGAGCUCAAGAAAAGGCUCAAGAAGCUGGCGGAGUCAUUGGGACGGAAGUGAGCUGCUGUCUGAUGAUCAUCUGGAUGGGCUCCUGCUGUGGUAAAAUAUCCAGGGAAGAUGUUAUAGUAAGACAAAGCCAUUUUGGAGAAACUGAAUAAAGGAAAAGUUUAGCUCUAGAUCAACACCAGUAAAGUUGUAAGUGAAGGUUUAUCAGGUUUGCUUAAAAAAAACCAUCUGUUUACAAACAAACAUUGACCCAAAAGGUGAAAUUCAUUGAAAAAUAUGCAUUUAUACAGAUUUAUGCAGCUGUUUCACCUCAUACCCAUCUUUUUUAAAAAAAAGUUUUUAUAUUUUGUUUGAUUGUACAUUCCUAAAUUCUUAAUAUGUUUUCCGUGGAGUGUUUCAAUGUUUAAGUCUAUUCUCCCUCUACUAUCACCAUGUCUGUUAGCUGUGUUAGUGUGCCUGCCAGAAUAUAGAGUUUAACAUGACUCUUAAUUACAAAUGUGCGUUAAAAACAAGAGCUGUUUAAAUGAGAAUUGCUUCUAUAUUACAACUUGCAUCUUUACUCGGUAUAGCUGUGCUUGUGUUUGUCUUUGACUAAUCUACUGAAUACAGAAUCCUUUUACCUUUAUGUACUAUGUAAUUUUUAGUAAAAUCUUCAAGUGUUGAAAAUAUUGAGUAAAAAUAAUAUCCUUAUUGAAUAUAUAUUCCGAAUCAAAUUGUGAAAUUAAUGGCUGUGUAAAAUCUAUGCACCUAUCUUGGGUCUUGUUCUUAUACUUCAAAAUCUAAUGACGUAUGCUGUCUGAAUGUGGUUAUGUAUUUGAAAUGCCUGGAGUUGUUGGAUAUAUAUGGAUUAAUUAACAUUUAAAACAUUCGAAGGUGAACGGCUAAUAGGAAAUCAGAACUGUUUUUUAGCUAGUAUUUUAACCUGUUUGAUGUGAAAUGAUCACUAACAACCCCUCUAAUUGCUUUGGUUAUUUAUAAACUUGAAUGCGUUCUGAAAUGACAGCCACACAAAAUAAGUUUUUUGUGCUAAUUUUACUAUUGGAAGAUUUUGUGUUCACAUUUCAGUUGUGAGCUUGCAUUUUAUUAGCAUGAAAUUGAAAAUGACAGUUUACUGCAUCUUAUGUACAGUGCUGAAAUGCUUCAUUAAAGAUCAAUAAAGUAUUCUGAACACAUAAUGUUGAACUUGAGUUUACAGGAAUUAAUGAGCUUAUUAUGUAUUUUUUUUCCCUCUGCAACAUAACUUCAGUGCUUGGGGGUGUUAAAUUUUCCAAAGUUUAAACCCGUAGCUGUAAGAAGAGUUUGUCUAAUAUCCUUAUGCUCAUAUAAACAUUUAUCUCCCUUGACAUAUUUUGCUUCAUCACAGUCCUAUUCAUUUAAUCUCAUGUGAUUAAUAUUCAUAAGUUUCACUUAUAAACUACUAUGAAUUAAAGUUUGAAAAAUAUCA
This is a non-coding RNA of Poecilia reticulata (guppy), 1864 nucleotides long. The record is from RefSeq and is a predicted model, not a curated record. Lineage: Eukaryota; Metazoa; Chordata; Actinopteri; Cyprinodontiformes; Poeciliidae.